AUCCUCCGAAAAUAAGACCUACUUACAGGUUUUCUUCUGAGUGAAAUAUAAGGCAUCCCCUGAAAAUAGGGCCCCCCUAGGCUCUGUAUCAGAAUGAAAAUUAAUUUACCAUAAACUGGUCACUAGGGCUUCCCCUACUGGCGUCUAGCAACUAGUGACAUUACGCGGAGUCCUGAUGUCACUGCUGUGGGAAUGGAGAGAAAUCAGCGUGAAAACUUUGUGAAACCUAAACUGCAA
Long non-coding RNA from Pipistrellus kuhlii (Kuhl's pipistrelle), 237 nucleotides. RefSeq lists it as uncharacterized. Lineage: Eukaryota; Metazoa; Chordata; Mammalia; Chiroptera; Vespertilionidae. The transcript has 3 exons. The record is from RefSeq and is a predicted model, not a curated record.